UACGGGGGGAGCAAGCGUUGUUCGGAUUUACUGGGCGUAAAGGGCGCGUAGGCGGCCUUGUAAGUCCUGUGUGAAAUCCCCCGGCUCAACUGGGGAACUGCACAGGAGACUGCUUGGCUUGAGUUCGGGAGAGGGAAGCGGAAUUCCGGGUGUAGCGGUGAAAUGCGCAGAUAUCAGGAGGAACACCAAUGGCGAAGGCAGCUCGCUGGGACGUGACUGACGCUGAGACGCGAAAGCGUGGGGAGCAAACAGG
RNAcentral lists this ribosomal RNA (253 nucleotides) under uncultured bacterium. RNAcentral's name for it is "partial 16S ribosomal RNA". It matches the Rfam family "Bacterial small subunit ribosomal RNA", at positions 524 to 776 of the family's 1533-position model. The record is from RNAcentral.